This 2219-nucleotide long non-coding RNA is filed under the name Capsicum annuum. RNAcentral describes it as "long non-coding RNA (CANN_LNC009011)". The record is from RNAcentral. Lineage: Eukaryota; Viridiplantae; Streptophyta; Magnoliopsida; Solanales; Solanaceae.
GUAGAGAGAGAAGUUCUUAUUAUUUGUACUUGUAAUCCCAACGUACAUACAAAGUUCGACCCAAAUUCACCGAGUUCUGUUUAGUAAUGAAGAUAAUAGCUAUUUCGUUGGCUAUUGUUAUGAUCAUUUUACUACCUAAUGUUGUUGUCAUAGGCAUUAAGGUCGUGUGUAGUGCUGCGCCAUCGAAUUAGGAAAAAAGACCAGGUCUAAGGCCUCCGCCACCCCCUAAGUCACACUCUUCAGUCUAUAGAAGCGGGCGAGAUUCGUCCCCCAAACGCCACCGCCACUAUCAUACUGAUUAGUUGUGUACAUGAGAUUUUAUGCAAGUGAUGUCAACUCAUCGUCAUAAGUUGACUAGUAAUAGUGCCCAAGCCUCACCCUCGUAUCCACUAGUGGUGGGUGAGGUUGGUCCCACCAAAGCCGCCACCAACAUCUUAGUGAUGUACGUGAGAUGUUAUGCAAGUGAUGUCAGCUUAUCGUCAUAAUUUGACUUGUAAUAAGGACCAAUUGUAUGGUCUCACUAGCUCUCCUAUAUUAGUAAUUUGUAAUGAUGGUAUGUAUCAGAGGCGGAUUCAGAAUUUUAAACUUGUGGGUUCCUAAGGGGCUCCUUUCCUUCCACUAAACUAUCCCUUGGUUUAGUUAUGGGUUCCCACCUAUUAAUAUUUAUAACUUUUGGCGAUUUUUCUUUGUACUUUUAAGCCAUACAGUAGCGGGUGUGGGUUCCCGGCAACCCACACCUACUACUCUACAUCCGCCACUGGUAUGUAUACUUUUCCAACUACUUAUACAUUGUUCCAUUACUUUACAAGUCACAUUGAAGUACAUGAGUAGAUUUUAAAUUGAAGUAACAAUGUCAUAAUUGUUGAAGUUGUUGUCAUGUAACCUAGAGGUCACAGUUCAAGCCGUGAGAACAAACUUUUGCAGAAAUGAAAGGUCACGGUUUAGACCGUUAUGAUCCCGUUCUUCCUCAAACUCUGCGCAUAACAGAAGCUUUAGUGCACCAACCCUUAUAUCAACACAUAGAUGAUGGGAAGAUUUUAGAUAUAAUCAAUACAUCUAUAAUCUAUAAUCUAUAAUGUAUAUAUAUAUAAUUAUAAUUAAUAAGUAUAAUUAAUAUAUUAAAAGUGUGAAGACCUUUAUAAAAGUGAUUUGAACUUUUUGCCCUUCAUUAAAAGUUUCAUCAAUAGACAAAAUUGUCUUUACAAUUAUUUUCUCAAUUAUUAUAUUAUUAUAUUUUAAAGGAGUCCUAUAAUAUAUGGUAGGAAAAAUUAUAUAGAGAAUUAAUAUUAGUUGAUUUUUUCUCCAUAUAUACUUGAAAAAAGGAGUCCUAAAUAUAGAGAAGAAAAAAGGGUAUAGUAAAACGUACAUCAAAUACAAAAAAUAAUAUUCCAGCAAAAAUGACCCCCCCCCCUCACUCCCAAAUUUAAUAAAAACUUGAAAGUUGGCCAAAAAAAAAAAGGAAAGAAGAAUUUUCGAAUUUUUAAAUCCAAAGUUUGUUAAACUUUAAGGGGAUUUUGGUUAGCUUUUGAAUCACUUUACCAUUAGGAUUCUUUAAUUAGUUAAUUGAUGAUAAUUGUCGUUGAAUUACUUAAUUAAUUGUUGAUAGUUGUCUUUUUCUAUUUAGGUUUAGAUUUCUUUUUUUCUAAACUAUCACAUGUAGAGAAAAAAUAGGUUUAGAUAUAAAAUUUUCUUAUUAAUGUAUAUAAAUUUUAUCGUGAUCUAAGGUAAGAUUUUUAAAUUUUAGUAUGUUUUUAAAGUUUAUAAUAAAUAAAUUAUCUUGUAUUUUAAUAAAUAAUUGCUAAUUGAAAUUUGCUUGUGAUUUGAGGUAAGUUUUCUAACGUCAUUAUUCCAUGUUCACCAUCAACUUUUUUACGAUAAUUGUGAAUUUUCUUAUUUGAUUUAUGUUUUUGUUUUAUUGUUCUUUAUAGUGUAUAUUUAUGAAUUAAUAUCCAAAAAUAACUAUUGAUUUUUUAUUUCAUGCCACAUGUAAGCUUUGAUGAAAAAUUUAUUCAAAAAAUUAACGAAAUUGGUUUGAAAUAGAAGUGAUCACAAUAUAGUUACGUGGUGAAAUUAAUUUGAUUUAACAUUUACUUGAGAGAUAGAACAAACCAUAACGAGCACCUUUAUUAUGACAUUAUUUCGUUUGAUUGCAGUUUCUGAUCUAUUACUAUUUGUAAUUAUUUUUUUUGGCUUAAUACAGGUGGUAAACGAAUGUAUGG